Molecule: ribosomal RNA, 1202 nt
Filed under: uncultured bacterium
Lineage: Bacteria
Description: partial 16S ribosomal RNA
Rfam family: Bacterial small subunit ribosomal RNA
Source: RNAcentral
AAAAAAAGCUUUUUGUGGUAUAAGAUGGGCACGCGUUCCAUUAGUUAGUUGGUAGGGUAACGGCUUACCAAGGCUACGAUGGAUAGGGGUUCUGAGAGGAUACACCCCCACACUGGAACUGAGACACGGUCCAGACUCCUACGGGAGGCAGCAGUAAGGAAUAUUGGUCAAUGGAGGCAACUCUGAACCAGCCAUGCCGCGUGCAGGAAGACUGCCCUAUGGGUUGUAAACUGCUUUUAAUAGGGAGUAAUUAUAACUACGUGUAGUUAUUUGCAAGUACCUAUAGAAUAAGCAUCGGCUAACUCCGUGCCAGCAGCCGCGGUAAUACGGAGGAUGCAAGCGUUAUCCGGAUUUAUUGGGUUUAAAGGGUGCGCAGGCGGACUAAUCAGUCAGUGGUGAAAUCUACAUGCUCAACAUGUAACCUGCCAUUGAUACUGUUAGACUAGUAUACAAAUGACGUAGCUGGAAUGUGUUAUGUAGCGGUGAAAUGCAUAGAUAUAACACAGAACACCGAUCGUGAAGACAGGUUACGAAUUUGUUAUAGACGCUCAUGCACGAAAGCGUGGAACUCAAAAGGGCCUUUUUNCCCUUCUUCUCCNCNCUCUCAACCAUUAAAUGGGAGUUGUUGGGCAUUUAAUGUUCAGUGGCUAAGCGAAAGCGAUAAGUUAUCCACCUGGGGAGUACGAUCGCAAGGUGAAAACUCAAAGGAAUUGACGGGGGCCCGCACAAGCGGAGGAGCAUGUGGUUUAAUUCGACGAUACGCGAGGAACCUUACCCGGGUUUGAAUUGCUGAUGGCGGUAUUUGGAGACAGAUACUUCCCUUCGGGGCGUCAGUGAAGGUGCUGCAUGGUUGUCGUCAGCUCGUGCCGUGAGGUGUCGGCUUAAGUGCCAUAACGAGCGCAACCCUUGCCGUUAGUUGCCAUCGGGUCAUGCCGGGCACUCUAUUGGGACUGCCAUCGUAAGAUGUGAGGAAGGUGGGGAUGACGUCAAAUCAGCACGGCCCUUAUGUCCGGGGCGACACACGUGUUACAAUGGGGGGUACAGUGGGAGCUACCUGGCGACAGGUUGCGGAUCCCCAAAUCCUUUCUCAGUUCGGAUCGGAGUCUGUAACUCGACUCCGUGAAGUUGGAUUCGCUAGUAAUCGCGCAUCAGCCAUGGCGCGGUGAAUACGUUCCCGGGCCUUGCACACACCGCCCGUCAAG